RNAcentral lists this ribosomal RNA (463 nucleotides) under uncultured bacterium. RNAcentral describes it as "partial 16S ribosomal RNA". It matches the Rfam family "Bacterial small subunit ribosomal RNA", at positions 28 to 507 of the family's 1533-position model. The record is from RNAcentral.
GAUGAACGCUGACAGAAUGCUUAACACAUGCAAGUCGAUGGGGAAGUGGUGCUUGCACCAUGGUAACCAUGGCGGACGGGUGAGUAACGCGUAAGGAACUUGCCUGCGGGACUGGGAUAACAGCAGUAAACUGCUGAUAAUACCGGAUAAGGUCAUUAAGCUGCAUAGCUUAGUGAUGAAAGGAGACGCCUGCGGAGAGCCUUGCGUCCUAUUAGCUAGUUGGAGGGGUAACGGCCCACCAAGGCGAAGAUAGGUAGCCGGCCUGAGAGGGUGGACGGCCACAAGGGGACUGAGAUACGGCACUUACUCCUACGGGAGGCAGCAGUGGGGAAUAUUGGACAAUGGGGGCAACCCUGAUCCAGCAAUUCGGUGUGCACGAAGACGGUUUUCGGAUUGUAAAGUGCUUUCAGCAGGGAAGAAGGAAGUGACGGUACCUGCAGAAGAAGCGACGGCUAAAUACGUG